GAUGAACGCUGGCGGCGUGCCUAAUACAUGCAAGUCGAGCGAACGGACGAGAAGCUUGCUUCUCUGAUGUUGGCGGCGGACGGGUGAGUAACACGUGGAUAACCUACCUAUAAGACUGGGAUAACUUCGGGAAACCGGAGCUAAUACCGGAUGAUAUUUUGAACCGCAUGGUUCAAAAGUGAAAGACGGUCUUGCUGUCACUUAUAGAUGGAUCCGCGCUGCAUUAGCUAGUUGGUAAGGUAACGGCUUACCAAGGCAACGAUGCAUAGCCGACCUGAGAGGGUGAUCGGCCACACUGGAACUGAGACACGGUCCAGACUCCUACGGGAGGCAGCAGUAGGGAAUCUUCCGCAAAGGGCGAAAGCCUGACGGAGCAACGCCGCGUGAGUGAUGAAGGUCUUCGGUUCGUAAAACUCUGUUAUUAGGGAAGAACAUAUGUGUAAGUAACUGUGCACAUCUUGACGGUACCUAAUCAGAAAGCCACGGCUAACUACGUG
RNAcentral lists this ribosomal RNA (497 nucleotides) under uncultured bacterium. Its description in RNAcentral is "partial 16S ribosomal RNA". It matches the Rfam family "Bacterial small subunit ribosomal RNA", at positions 28 to 507 of the family's 1533-position model. The record is from RNAcentral.